CCUACGGGUGGCAGCAGUGGGGAAUCUUGCGCAAUGGGCGGAAGCCUGACGCAGCGACGCCGCGUGCGGGACGAAGGCCUUCGGGUCGUAAACCGCUUUCAGCAGGGACGAGGCCCUCACGGUGCCGGUACCUGCAGACGAAGCCCCCGCUAACUACGUGCCAGCAGCCGCGGUAAUACGUAGGGGGCGAUCGUUAUCCGGAUUCAUUGGGCGUCAAGCGCGCGUAGGCGGCCUGUUAGUUCGGGGUGCAAACACCGGGGCGCAACCCCGGUCCGCCCCCGAUACCGGCAGGCUUGAGUCUGGGAGGGGAAGGCGGAAUUCCCAGUGUAGCGGUGGAAUGCGCAGAUAUUGGGAAGAACACCGGCGGCGAAGGCGGCCUGCUGGGCGACGACUGACGCUGAGGCGCGAAAGCUAGGGGAGCGAACAGGAUUAGAUACCCGGGUAGUC
Molecule: ribosomal RNA, 447 nt
Filed under: uncultured bacterium
Lineage: Bacteria
Description: partial 16S ribosomal RNA
Rfam family: Bacterial small subunit ribosomal RNA
Source: RNAcentral